This is a long non-coding RNA of Passer domesticus (house sparrow), 2005 nucleotides long. RefSeq lists it as uncharacterized. The record is from RefSeq and is a predicted model, not a curated record. NCBI's taxonomy places the organism in Eukaryota, Metazoa, Chordata, Aves, Passeriformes, Passeridae. The transcript is spliced from 3 exons.
ACUCUGAGCAGCAGACUCUCCCAGCACCAGACGGAUUGAUAACAGAGUGACCACCCACAGGAGAGACUUUCUGAAUUUGUUGUCUCUUCAGAGCAGCGAAUGAGUUUUGUCUUCUGUAUAGUUUUUAGUAUAGCAUUGUAAUAGAAUGUAUAUCAUAAUAUAAUAAACCAGCCUUCUGAAACACAGAAUCAAGCUUCUCGCCUCUCCACUCGUCCUGGGAGCAUUGACCACACAUGGUUUAUCUGUGUACAGCUGUGAAGACUCCUCCAUGACACUGAAGAUCUCAAAAUGGCUCCUAUGCCUCUUUGGCCAAAUCGUUUUGGAUGUUAAUAACAGCUAAAGAAAUGACAGGUUAGUGGGAAAAUGUUUAUAUUCUCUUCAACAACAAAAUUUUGUUGCUUUGAUGAACCUACCAUCUCCUUAAGCAGUACAUCUAAUUACACUACUUUGCUUGUUUCACAUUGUUUAUUUUAUCUCUUUAUUUUGAUUUUGGUUUAGGUUUUGCAGUUUCUAAAAUCUUAAUAACAGAGAAAGAAAUGUCAAAUUUGUCAUUCAAUCUAAACCAUGAUAAAUAUGCUUUGUGAUAAUGCAGUGAGGCAAUGCAUAAUUUUUCAUCACUUCUUAAGUCAUGUGAAGAUGAAAAAUCUGCAUAAAAAUUCCAACUCUAUUCCUUGAGGACUAGAUGGAAUUUAAUUUUUUCCAUUAUUAUUAUUAGUAAUAAAACUUUCUUUUUCCAAAAAGAGUGGAAAAGCAUUAGUGACAUUAACAUCUUUCUAUUUGUUGUAACUGCAGUGUUUCCUCAUGUAGAAACCUUCAAUCUCACUUUAGGCACCUAGCAUAUCUGGAAUCAUGAUCAAACCAGACUGCCUAGAAGAAUCAAAGGAGACAAACUAGCAUAUCAGAUUAACAAACUAGGAAUUCCCUGUUGUCUAUAGAAGUGUUGGGCAGCUGCACUUUUAGAUCCAAUUUUUUUAGGACACCAAGCAUACACUGUUUGCUCACCAUUAUUAAGCAUACUCAUGUGAAUUUUGUCAAGAAAGGACCUCAGAAAUGGACAGCCCCUGUCUGGUCUAUGAUCACAGGCUGUGCACAUGAACGGGAGCUGAAGGAUCUUUCUGUAGAUACUUACUAAGAAUAGAAAAUAAAUAAUUUUAAUAGAAAUCAGAUAUACUGCUGAAAGCUAUUGUUGAUUAAUAACACUGUCCAAAUGGCAAAUCAUUUCUAAUUGCAAAUUUUGCUCAUUCUUUGAAUGCUCAUUCAUCUCUAGUGAGUAUAAGAUGGGAGUAUGUAUUGCUAAAUAUUAAUACUUCCCAUUCAUCUUAAAAAUCCUUAAAUGCAGUUAUGAUUUUCAGUUGGAUGGAAUAAUUUUAUCAUCUGUGUCCUUUCAGGUUAUCUAUUGGACAGAACUAGUAUCUUCCUUUCUUAAUAGACUCCUUUGACUUUUCACCCACACAUAUAUAUUUUUUUAAUUUUUUGUUGAAUGAAAACUUGCAAUUUCUUCAAAGAUAAAGUUCACUGAUAUUUAAAUAAACAUAAAAAUCCCUAUUAACAAACCUCCACCUGCCCCGGUCCCCCCCCGCUUUUGUUUGGGCGUUUUUUAACUGUAGGUUUUACUCCAGUAUUUUUCUAGAAUUAAUGACUAGAAUAUUCUUUUUUUGUAGAUGAGAUUUAUGAAGCAUAAACAGCUAAAUGACUUGCUAAAUAGGUAAUGCCUGCCUGGAGCAGUGAGACCAGGAGUAAAAAUAUGGGUGUUAGAAUGGUAGGUGCUUCUGCCUUUUUUGUCCCCAAGAAACCUCUCCUGUCGAAAGGCAAGUUGAGUUAACAUUCAGGCAACACAGUCAAACCUCCACUCGACACUCACCGCAACUGGCUCAGCGAUAGAGGCAAGAAAGGCUCUUUUGCAAGGUUUUAUUCCAGCGGAGUAACACAGCAGCUGAAAGGAAACCCAGCGGGAAACAGGAUCAACCACGUGAAGCAGCCAACUCAAAACGGGAAAGGGGUAGGG